This 468-nucleotide ribosomal RNA is filed under the name uncultured bacterium. Its description in RNAcentral is "partial 16S ribosomal RNA". It matches the Rfam family "Bacterial small subunit ribosomal RNA", at positions 28 to 507 of the family's 1533-position model. The record is from RNAcentral.
GACGAACGCUGGCGGCGUGCUUAACACAUGCAAGUCGAACGGAAAGGCCCUGCUUUUGUGGGGUGCUCGAGUGGCGAACGGGUGAGUAACACGUGAGUAACCUGCCCUUGACUUUGGGAUAACUUCAGGAAACUGGGGCUAAUAACGGAUAGGAGCUCCUGCUGCAUGGUGGGGGAUGGAAAGUUUCGGCGGUUGGGGAUGGUCUCGCGGCUUCUUAGCUUGUUGGUGGGGUAGUGGCUUACCAAGGCUUUGACGGGUAGCCGGCCUGAGAGGGUGACCGGCCACAUUGGGACUGAGAUACGGCCCAGACUCCUACGGGAGGCAGCAGUGGGGAAUAUUGCACAAUGGGCGGAAGCCUGAUGCAGCAACGCCGCGUGCGGGAUGACGGCCUUCGGGUUGUAAACCGCUUUCGCCUGUGACGAAGCGUGAGUGACGGUAAUGGGUAAAGAAGCACCGGCUAACUACGUG